AGUGAACGCUGGCGGUAGGCCUAACACAUGCAAGUCGAACGGCAGCACAGUAAGAGCUUGCUCUUACGGGUGGCGAGUGGCGGACGGGUGAGGAAUACAUCGGAAUCUACUUUUUCGUGGGGGAUAACGUAGGGAAACUUACGCUAAUACCGCAUACGACCUACGGGUGAAAGCAGGGGAUCUUCGGACCUUGCGCGAUUGAAUGAGCCGAUGUCGGAUUAGCUAGUUGGCGGGGUAAAGGCCCACCAAGGCGACGAUCCGUAGCUGGUCUGAGAGGAUGAUCGGCCACACUGGAACUGUGACACGCUCCAGACUCCUACGGGAGGCAGCAGUGGGGAAUAUUGGGCAAUGGGCGCAAGCCUGAUCCAGCCAUACCGCGUGGGUGAAGAAGGCCUUCGGGUUGUAAAGCCCUUUUGUUGGGAAAGAAAAGCAGCAGGUUAAUACCCCGCUGUUCUGACGGUACCCAAAGAAUAAGCACCGGCUAACUUCGUG
Molecule: ribosomal RNA, 492 nt
Filed under: uncultured bacterium
Lineage: Bacteria
Description: partial 16S ribosomal RNA
Rfam family: Bacterial small subunit ribosomal RNA
Source: RNAcentral